CCUACGGGAGGCAGCAGUGGGGAAUUUUGGACAAUGGGCGCAAGCCUGAUCCAGCAAUGCCGCGUGAGUGAAGAAGGCCUUCGGGUUGUAAAGCUCUUUUGUCAGGGAAGAAACGGUGAGGGCUAAUAUCUCUUGCUAAUGACGGUACCUGAAGAAUAAGCACCGGCUAACUACGUGCCAGCAGCCGCGGUAAUACGUAGGGUGCAAGCGUUAAUCGGAAUUACUGGGCGUAAAGCGUGCGCAGGCGGUUUUGUAAGUCUGUCGUGAAAUCCCCGGGCUCAACCUGGGAAUUGCGAUGGAGACUGCAAGGCUAGAAUCUGGCAGAGGGGGGUAGAAUUCCACGUGUAGCAGUGAAAUGCGUAGAGAUGUGGAGGAACACCGAUGGCGAAGGCAGCCCCCUGGGUCAAGAUUGACGCUCAUGCACGAAAGCGUGGGGAGCAAACAGGAUUAGAUACCCUGGUAGUCCACGCCCUAAACGAUGUCUACUAGUUGUCGGGUUUUAAUUAACUUGGUAACGCAGCUAACGCGUGAAGUAGACCGCCUGGGGAGUACGGUCGCAAGAUUAAAACUUAAAUGAAAUUGACGG
RNAcentral lists this ribosomal RNA (586 nucleotides) under uncultured bacterium. Its description in RNAcentral is "bacterial SSU rRNA". It matches the Rfam family "Bacterial small subunit ribosomal RNA", at positions 338 to 916 of the family's 1533-position model. The record is from RNAcentral.